RNA transcript from Poecile atricapillus (Black-capped chickadee), 1840 nucleotides. RefSeq lists it as uncharacterized. NCBI's taxonomy places the organism in Eukaryota, Metazoa, Chordata, Aves, Passeriformes, Paridae. The transcript has 4 exons. The record is from RefSeq and is a predicted model, not a curated record.
CUGGGGCAGGGGAAGGAGCCCCAGCUGCUCUUGGGAGCAGCAGCAGGAGGGGGGAAGCUGUUUGGAUUAUUAAAAUUUUUGGAGGAAUGCCUGUUGGCCGAAUUGAGGUCCAAACAAGACCGUAAACCAAAGUCAAUAGCACGGAUUUUAUUUCACUGUAAAUGAGACAGAAAUAGGAGAAGGGGGAGAUGGGUGGUAGAGAAAGGUGGUGAUAGAUGAGGUAGAAAAUAUCAGUAGUCCAUGGGUCCCAAGGACAUCCCAUUGGGCCUCUCCAUCUGGUGCUCUUGGUGGUGAGGAUCCCGCCAUGGGUUCAGUGGAUAAUUAUCCAUUCCAGGCAGGUGGGAAUCCCCAGGGAGGGGGACGAGGGAGGCAGCAAGUUUGACCAAGUCUGGCAACAGAUUCUGGAUCUGUCGCAUCACGUGCAGUGCUCUGGUGAAGGCGUGAGGAAAUGGAAAUGAAUCUUGAGGAGCUUUGGGGGUCUUUGAUGGUUUCUAGCCCCUCCUCAGCUGCCCCUCCCGUGUGUGUGGCCUUCCUGGGGUCAGGGUUUUAUAAAGGAGCGAUUUUAUGUAGGAGAGGAUGGGUGGGUGUUCACUGCCUAUGACCCAAAGUUGUGCCACACACCCAAAACCUCUCAGGGGAGUGUGUGAAAACCUCAUGGGAUUGGGUCUGAGGGCCAUGGGCUCUGCCACCCCAGACCAAACCAAAGCUGGUUUUCAGGAAAUCUGCUGAGUUUUGCUUUGUGGGGGAUCCUUUCUUCUCCCUCAGCCUUGUUUGCUUCUCUAGAUUUGAGAUAAUAGAUCAGUGUCCCAUUUCUGCAUCUCAGGUUCCCUUUUAGGUGGCUAAACUCACAGCCCAAAGUUCCCCUCAGGAGGCAUCCUUGGGGUGGGGUGGGUCUUUAGUGGUCGCGGGUUUUUUAUAAAGUUUUGCUAUGGCGGGCAAGAAAUCCUUCCUAGCGAACUUUGAGCCGUUGAGCGCAAUCUUUGUGUCUCAAAAUGGGGACGGAGUUGGGCGGGGAUGAGGGAGCUGGAGGCGGGUGUGGGCAGGUGCCGGCGGCAGCUCCUCCCGGCCCGCGCGGCCGGAUGUCCUUUGGAGCGGGAGCGGCGGGCGGAGCGGGCGCGUGGAGCGGGACGGGCCCGGGACAGGUUGCUGCGCUUGAGCCUGGGACCUUGUGACCAACCCGGAGUUGUGAUGGAGCAUUUUGGAGCAUCCCCAGGGCUGCAGGUUGGAACCUGUGCUGCAACAGGUUGCGGCGCUUGAGCCUGGGACCUUGUGACCAGCCCAGAGUUGUGAUGGAGCAUUUUGGAGCAUCCCCAGGGCUGCAGGUUGGAACCUGGGGUGCAACAGGUUGCUGCGCUUGAGCCCGGGACCUUGUGGCCAGCCCAGAGUUGUGAUGGAGCAUUUUGGAGCGUCCCCAGGGCUGCAGGUUGGAACCUGGGAUGUGACAGGUGAGGUUUUGGGUUGAGGCAGGUGCUGCCGAGGUGCUGGGGCCUGCCAGAGCUUUGGGUGUUCAGGCAGAUGUCUUUUGAUGGACGUUUCUCACGACCAGUGUGGCUUGGAAGGUGGUAACCUAACCAUCCAAUCCCUGGUCGUUGUCAGGAAUCUAUAAAUACUGAAACCACAGAAUAAAUUGCUCUCUUUUUCCUAUCACACCUUGGGCUGUGUCUGUGUGAAUCAUUUCAUGUCCAACAGCGACAACACACAGCUCUCUGUGGCUGUGCUUGGCUCCUGUCAGCUCCCGAGGUGCUGAUUUGUGGUGGGGGAAAGGAAAGGGGCCAGGGCCUCUUUUUAGUUUGGGUCCUUUUGUGUCUCUAAAUCUGGGUUUUUCUUUUGGUGCUGUAUU